CUACGGGUCGCUCCAGUGGGGAAUCUUGCGCAAUGGGCGAAAGCCUGACGCAGCAACGCCGCGUGCGGGAUGAAGGCCUUCGGGCUGUAAACCGCUUUCGGCAGGAACGAAAAUGACGGUACCUGCAGAAGAAGGAGCGGCCAACUACGUGCCAGCAGCCGCGGUGACACGUAGGCUCCAAGCGUUGUCCGGAUUUAUUGGGCGUAAAGAGCUCGUAGGCGGUUGAGUAAGUCGGGUGUGAAAACUCUGGGCUUAACCCGGAGACGCCAUCCGAUACUGCUCUGACUAGAGUUCAGGAGGGGAGUGGGGAAUUCCUAGUGUAGCGGUGAAAUGCGCAGAUAUUAGGAGGAACACCGGUGGCGAAGGCGCCACUCUGGACUGAAACUGACGCUGAGGAGCGAAAGCAUGGGUAGCAAACAGGAUUAGAUACCCGCGUAGUC
Molecule: ribosomal RNA, 440 nt
Filed under: uncultured bacterium
Lineage: Bacteria
Description: partial 16S ribosomal RNA
Rfam family: Bacterial small subunit ribosomal RNA
Source: RNAcentral